Molecule: long non-coding RNA, 2105 nt
Filed under: Homo sapiens (human)
Lineage: Eukaryota; Metazoa; Chordata; Mammalia; Primates; Hominidae
Description: HSALNT0292454
Source: RNAcentral
GGAGCUGGUAAUCAGGAUGGCAGUGAGGCAGGCACUUGCUUGCAGAAGAACAGGCCUAGUUUUUUAAGAAGCCACAAAAGUGUCUUUGGAUGAUUAGGAUCUAAGGGGCCAACAGCUUUGCAAUAACAGCAUAAAUAUUGUGGGCUGGAUGGACAGGCACCAAAUGGGGACAUUCCAUCCUGCUGUGUGAUGAGAAAGCUGCCACUUUUGAGGCCUUCCAAAACAAAUCAACACUCCAUAUGCCAGAAGGAAAAGCCCAGGAAAGACCUAUUCCAACUGGAGAUGGAAUACGAAGGGAGAAUGAAACAAAACUGCUCCGCUUAGGGAACUUGGAAAGGAAAUUGAAAAGGCAAGGCACAGGCUGGAAGAAAAUAUUUGAAAAAGAUUUAUGUGAACUUCUUUCUGGAUUAUACAAAAUAUUUUUAGAUAUUCUUACAACUCUAAAAUAAGAUAACUCCUUAAAAAUCUAAAUUCUACCAAAGGAGAGAUAAAGAUGACGAAUACAUUCAAAGAUGCUGAAAAUCACUUAUUUAUUAUUAGGAAGUUACAAGCUAAAGCAUAAUGAGAUACCACUACAACCUACUAAACUGACUAAAAUUAAUCAGACUAACCAGGUGUUGGCAAGAAACAGGGACACUGAGACUCUCACACUGCUGGAAGGAAUGUAAAAUGCUAAAACUUCUUUGGAAAUGAGUUCAGUAACUUUUUAAACAGUUGAAAAUAGACCUAUCAUGCAAACCAGCAAUCCCACUUCCAGGUAUUUAUACAAGGAAAAUGACAACAUAUGCCCACAUAAAGACUUGUGCACAAAUGACCGUAGCAGCUUUGUGAUAAUUGCUAAAAACUAGAAACUUGUCAAGUGUCCAACAGCUAAGGAAAUAGAGACAAACUACAUAAGUUGCUGAAAAAUCACAGCAAAUAAUUAGCUGAGGAAGAGACUCAAAUCUAUCAGAACUGCUUGACUUUUGAUCCUGAGCUUAUGCGCAUCCAGUGGGCAAGUGAGGGUGCAUGGGUUUGUGAAGACUCCAGCAGUAUGAUUGGGGUUGACAUGCAGGCUGGACAUACAGUGGGCCUCGAUUGCUUAGAAGCCAAACUGAACUCACCAAGAAAAGAAGACAGGAGAAACUUCUCAAGAGGAAUAUCUCCAAAUUGCAGGAUCGAAUACCAUAAGAGGAAUUCUGGACUGAAGAGUUAUGAAGUCAUUUCAGACACUUCCAGACAAUUUGUGUUAAUUAAAUUCUCACUGGUUGAGUUCCAUUCUACACUGGAAGAGCAUUUUUCCUGGAAAGGCUCCUCAAAAUGUACCUUUGGCAAACACAGAGAGGUAUGCUCAUAGAAGAGGUGAGUUUGGAACUGCAAAUCCUCCCAGCCUCAGGACCUCUCUUUUGGUUGCCUGCUCUGCUACAAAGCUGGAGAUCUAAAGUGGAGGCGUGUAGAAGACACCGUCUGGCUGGACACCAUCAAGAGUCACCUCCUCAGUGAAGCCUUCCAUGGUUUCAUACCACCCAUCCCUAUCGGAAUGAAUGUAUCCUUGUUCUCCGUUAUCCCAGUAUUUUGCCUGGGCUUCUGUCACACUACUUUCAAUGUCUAUACCUCAGUUAUCGAAUCGAAAAACAAGAGUCAUCAGUCUCUAAGGUCCUUGCAAGCUUCAAAACUUUAUAUUUUUGUCAAUUACAACUGAAUAAAGCUGAACAACUUAUUAUUUAUGGAUACUUGCUCAAGCACCAUAUAACUCUUUCAGAUAUUUUAAAAGAAUAUGUUUGCAAAAGACUCCAAAUCAAUGUAUUAAAUUGAAAUCCAGUAUCAAAACACCCAUUAAAGUGCUCUUUUGAAAUUGUACAUUUUAUAUCAAUAAAAUUUCAAAAUAUAAAAACCUCUAUUUUACUUGUUGAAUUCUUAGGAAUAAUAACUAAACAGUUUUAAAAUAUUAGUAGAAAGAUGGUGUCUUUGAAAUAAGAAGAAUGGAGUUGGAGCAUAAGUUGCUUCUAGUUGAAUGACCUGGGCAUGAUUUAUCAUGUCUUUGCACCUCAGUUUCCCUAUCUGUAAAAUGGCAGUAAUGCUGACUUUACUUCACUAAGCUGUUGAGUAGAUUAAAUUAGACUGUG